Molecule: ribosomal RNA, 492 nt
Filed under: uncultured bacterium
Lineage: Bacteria
Description: partial 16S ribosomal RNA
Rfam family: Bacterial small subunit ribosomal RNA
Source: RNAcentral
AGUGAACGCUGGCGGUAGGCCUAACACAUGCAAGUCGAACGGCAGCACAGUAAGAGCUUGCUCUUACGGGUGGCGAGUGGCGGACGGGUGAGGAAUACAUCGGAAUCUACUUUUUCGUGGGGGAUAACGUAGGGAAACUUACGCUAAUACCGCAUACGACCUACGGGUGAAAGCAGGGGAUCUUCGGACCUUGCGCGAUUGAAUGAGCCGAUGUCGGAUUAGCUAGUUGGCGGGGUAAAGGCCCACCAAGGCGACGAUCCGUAGCUGGUCUGAGAGGAUGGUCAGCGACACUGGAACUGAGACACGGUCCAGACUACGACGGGAGGCAGCAGUGGGGAAUGGUGGACAAUGGGGGCAAGUCUGAUCCAGCCAUACCGGGUAGGUGAAAAAGGCCGUCGAGUUGUACAGCCCUUUUGUUGGGAAAAAAAAGCAGCAGGUUAAUACCCCGCUGUUCUGACGGUACCCAAAGAAUAAGCACCGGCUAACUUCGUG